Molecule: long non-coding RNA, 844 nt
Filed under: Toxoplasma gondii VEG
Lineage: Eukaryota; Apicomplexa; Conoidasida; Eucoccidiorida; Sarcocystidae
Source: RNAcentral
CAAGCUCCCCAAAUUCCAACAGGUCCUUACUGCCAAACAUCCAUCGAUAAUAUAUACCUGCAUUUACAGUUGCUUGUCUAUAUAUAUACAUAUAUAUCUUUUGUCUACAUUUCUGUGUACAAAACUGAUCAAUUCCCCUUCCUAAAGUCUAUAUUUGACUAUAUAUAUAUAUACAGCCAUGCAGCCAUAUGUGUGUUGCCGUGCGUCUGGAAAUUUAGGCAUAUGCUCAUGUGUGAAACUGCAUAGGACUACAAAUACGCUGAAAAGUCACACGCUCACGAUGCACAGUUCUCCUUUCUUUGAACAUCUGGAUAUCUGCAUAAUGAUCUACGCAUACGCAUAUAUAUAUGGAUGUGUGCUAGUGUUUUUCUUUGUGUCUCCUGUUAAGAGGCUCUCUGUUGGUGUUCAGUCGUCUUCUGUCGCCGAGGCAUAGAGAGGGGGAUAUAAAAAUAUGUAUACAUACUCAUGUGACAUGUGACUGCAGGCAUGUCACUCCGUCUUCCCCGUGCUUCUUGCUGAGAGUGUUUGUGUUUGUUUCAGUUUAAAACUUUGUUUGCGUCAUCGGAGUGUAUCUUUCGUGUUUUUAACAAGACUGCAUCGGGAAAAUGUUUUCCUGAUGCGGAUUUCCACUUCCGUUUCUGAUCCUUCACGGCAGUGUGCGUGAUCUAGAAGGCUGAUGCUGGUGGUCUUCUCUCUAAAAAAGUAAAAAGAACAUUUCUACACAAAUCAUCUCAAAGCACGAACGCCGCUUCCCCCAACUGCCUAAAACGCCCGGAGAAGCGCAAAGUCUCUCAUCAGGAGGCACAAGAACAGAGUACCACGUUGACAUUCACUUACUACAGGC